UGGGGAAUCUUGCGCAAUGCACGAAAGUGUGACGCAGCAACGCCGCGUGGAGGAAGAAGGCUCUCGGGUCGUAAACUCCUUUCAGUUGGGACGAAGCUUCGUCGGUUAAUAGCCGGCUGGAGUGACGGUACCUUCACAAGAAGCACCGGCUAACUACGUGCCAGCAGCCGCGGUAAUACGUAGGGUGCAAGCGUUGUCCGGAAGCAUUGGGCGUAAAGAGCGUGUAGGCGGCCCGAGCAGGCCGCUGGG
RNAcentral lists this ribosomal RNA (249 nucleotides) under uncultured Solirubrobacterales bacterium. Its description in RNAcentral is "partial 16S ribosomal RNA". It matches the Rfam family "Bacterial small subunit ribosomal RNA", at positions 355 to 596 of the family's 1533-position model. The record is from RNAcentral. Lineage: Bacteria; Bacillati; Actinomycetota; Thermoleophilia; Solirubrobacterales.